UUAAGCGACUAAGCGUACACGGUGGAUGCCCUGGCAGUCAGAGGCGAUGAAGGACGUGCUAAUCUGCGAUAAGCGUCGGUAAGGUGAUAUGAACCGUUAUAACCGGCGAUUUCCGAAUGGGGAAACCCAGUGUGUUUCGACACACUAUCAUUAACUGAAUCCAUAGGUUAAUGAGGCGAACCGGGGGAACUGAAACAUCUAAGUACCCCGAGGAAAAGAAAUCAACCGAGAUUCCCCCAGUAGCGGCGAGCGAACGGGGAGCAGCCCAGAGCCUGAAUCAGUGUGUGUGUUAGUGGAAGCGUCUGGAAAGGCGCGCGAUACAGGGUGACAGCCCCGUACACAAAAAUGCACAUGCUGUGAGCUCGAUGAGUAGGGCGGGACACGUGGUAUCCUGUCUGAAUAUGGGGGGACCAUCCUCCAAGGCUAAAUACUCCUGACUGACCGAUAGUGAACCAGUACCGUGAGGGAAAGGCGAAAAGAACCCCGGCGAGGGGAGUGAAAAAGAACCUGAAACCGUGUACGUACAAGCAGUGGGAGCACGCUUAGGCGUGUGACUGCGUACCUUUUGUAUAAUGGGUCAGCGACUUAUAUUCUGUAGCAAGGUUAACCGAAUAGGGGAGCCGAAGGGAAACCGAGUCUUAACUGGGCGUUAAGUUGCAGGGUAUAGACCCGAAACCCGGUGAUCUAGCCAUGGGCAGGUUGAAGGUUGGGUAACACUAACUGGAGGACCGAACCGACUAAUGUUGAAAAAUUAGCGGAUGACUUGUGGCUGGGGGUGAAAGGCCAAUCAAACCGGGAGAUAGCUGGUUCUCCCCGAAAGCUAUUUAGGUAGCGCCUCGUGAAUUCAUCUCCGGGGGUAGAGCACUGUUUCGGCAAGGGGGUCAUCCCGACUUACCAACCCGAUGCAAACUGCGAAUACCGGAGAAUGUUAUCACGGGAGACACACGGCGGGUGCUAACGUCCGUCGUGAAGAGGGAAACAACCCAGACCGCCAGCUAAGGUCCCAAAGUCAUGGUUAAGUGGGAAACGAUGUGGGAAGGCCCAGACAGCCAGGAUGUUGGCUUAGAAGCAGCCAUCAUUUAAAGAAAGCGUAAUAGCUCACUGGUCGAGUCGGCCUGCGCGGAAGAUGUAACGGGGCUAAACCAUGCACCGAAGCUGCGGCAGCGACGCUGAUGCGUUGUUGGGUAGGGGAGCGUUCUGUAAGCCUGCGAAGGUGUGCUGUGAGGCAUGCUGGAGGUAUCAGAAGUGCGAAUGCUGACAUAAGUAACGAUAAAGCGGGUGAAAAGCCCGCUCGCCGGAAGACCAAGGGUUCCUGUCCAACGUUAAUCGGGGCAGGGUGAGUCGACCCCUAAGGCGAGGCCGAAAGGCGUAGUCGAUGGGAAACAGGUUAAUAUUCCUGUACUUGGUGUUACUGCGAAGGGGGGACGGAGAAGGCUAUGUUGGCCGGGCGACGGUUGUCCCGGUUUAAGCGUGUAGGCUGGUUUUCCAGGCAAAUCCGGAAAAUCAAGGCUGAGGCGUGAUGACGAGGCACUACGGUGCUGAAGCAACAAAUGCCCUGCUUCCAGGAAAAGCCUCUAAGCAUCAGGUAACAUCAAAUCGUACCCCAAACCGACACAGGUGGUCAGGUAGAGAAUACCAAGGCGCUUGAGAGAACUCGGGUGAAGGAACUAGGCAAAAUGGUGCCGUAACUUCGGGAGAAGGCACGCUGAUAUGUAGGUGAAGCCCCUUGCUGGUGGAGCUGAAAUCAGUCGAAGAUACCAGCUGGCUGCAACUGUUUAUUAAAAACACAGCACUGUGCAAACACGAAAGUGGACGUAUACGGUGUGACGCCUGCCCGGUGCCGGAAGGUUAAUUGAUGGGGUCAGCGCAAGCGAAGCUCUUGAUCGAAGCCCCGGUAAACGGCGGCCGUAACUAUAACGGUCCUAAGGUAGCGAAAUUCCUUGUCGGGUAAGUUCCGACCUGCACGAAUGGCGUAAUGAUGGCCAGGCUGUCUCCACCCGAGACUCAGUGAAAUUGAACUCGCUGUGAAGAUGCAGUGUACCCGCGGCAAGACGGAAAGACCCCGUGAACCUUUACUAUAGCUUGACACUGAACAUUGAGCCUUGAUGUGUAGGAUAGGUGGGAGGCUUUGAAGUGUGGACGCCAGUCUGCAUGGAGCCGACCUUGAAAUACCACCCUUUAAUGUUUGAUGUUCUAACGUUGACCCGUAAUCCGGGUUGCGGACAGUGUCUGGUGGGUAGUUUGACUGGGGCGGUCUCCUCCUAAAGAGUAACGGAGGAGCACGAAGGUUGGCUAAUCCUGGUCGGACAUCAGGAGGUUAGUGCAAUGGCAUAAGCCAGCUUGACUGCGAGCGUGACGGCGCGAGCAGGUGCGAAAGCAGGUCAUAGUGAUCCGGUGGUUCUGAAUGGAAGGGCCAUCGCUCAACGGAUAAAAGGUACUCCGGGGAUAACAGGCUGAUACCGCCCAAGAGUUCAUAUCGACGGCGGUGUUUGGCACCUCGAUGUCGGCUCAUCACAUCCUGGGGCUGAAGUAGGUCCCAAGGGUAUGGCUGUUCGCCAUUUAAAGUGGUACGCGAGCUGGGUUUAGAACGUCGUGAGACAGUUCGGUCCCUAUCUGCCGUGGGCGCUGGAGAACUGAGGGGGGCUGCUCCUAGUACGAGAGGACCGGAGUGGACGCAUCACUGGUGUUCGGGUUGUCAUGCCAAUGGCACUGCCCGGUAGCUAAAUGCGGAAGAGAUAAGUGCUGAAAGCAUCUAAGCACGAAACUUGCCCCGAGAUGAGUUCUCCCUGACUCCUUGAGAGUCCUGAAGGAACGUUGAAGACGACGACGUUGAUAGGCCGGGUGUGUAAGCGCAGCGAUGCGUUGAGCUAACCGGUACUAAUGAACCGUGAGGCUUAACCUU
This 2902-nucleotide ribosomal RNA is filed under the name Escherichia coli UMEA 3180-1. RNAcentral describes it as "bacterial LSU rRNA". It matches the Rfam family "Bacterial large subunit ribosomal RNA". The record is from RNAcentral. Lineage: Bacteria; Pseudomonadati; Pseudomonadota; Gammaproteobacteria; Enterobacterales; Enterobacteriaceae.